Non-coding RNA from Trachymyrmex septentrionalis, 67 nucleotides. The record is from Rfam. NCBI's taxonomy places the organism in Eukaryota, Metazoa, Arthropoda, Insecta, Hymenoptera, Formicidae.
GUCUCGGUAGUCUAAAGGACGCUCGCACGGAAUGCAAGAGAUCCGGGUUCGACUCCCGGCCGAGGCA